UCUCUUCAUGCCAUUGCUGACGUUUCUCCUUCAUCCUUCCAGCGCUGGAGAGCUUGCUUGGCGACCAUGACCCCGAGGUCGGGAGAGUUGCCUGCAAGACGGAGAAGAUCGUGAAGAAGGCCUUUUCCCUCCACUCCCGGCACGGGUUGCGGGCUGCCGUUCGGCGCUUGUGGGCAGGCUGUAAGAAGAAGAGACACCCGCCAGAGUACGGUGAUCUCUCCACCUGACCGACUGGAACAACAGCCCCGUGCUCUCCCCUGGAAGAUCAGCAGCUGAAGGGAGACUGAAGAAACACCAUGCAGCGCAGUGGAUCCGGACCAGCCAGAAGACCUCCUCCAACCCCGUGGAUAGAAAGAGCUGUCCACAAGACGGCAGCAGGGAAGUGCAGUUCUGUCUGAGGAGUGAGGGGGAAGCAGGCUCCACUCCCCUGGCCCAAGGAAGCCCCGCCUCCGGGGUGCAGAAGCCCCUCCCCUUGCCUCUGCUGCAGGCAGUGGGAGGAGGCUACAGGACCACCCUGCCCCCAAGUGGCCCUUGGGAACCAUUCUUGGGCUCUCCUUGGGUCCGGGGAGGCUGUGUGGCCCCAGCAGGAGGGCAAGGUCACCGCCUCCCUCCAUUUCCACCAGCUGGCCGGGGAGCGCCCCCUCCUCCUUCCACCUUUCUCCCCUUCCCCAGCGGCCUGGCUUCCCCUGGCAGGGGAAGCACCAUCCAGGCAUCCGCCCCCUCCCCUGCCGAGGGUGUGCUCCUCCCCCCCUCCCCUCCCGCAGCCACACCUCCCUCCCCCCUCCGCUCCCUCCUCCCCCCUCGCAAACUGGGGCAGCAGCAGAGGAGCCCGGGAGACUCGGGGGGCCCCCUGCAGCCCCAGUUGCGCCCCCUGGUGCUGCCCGGUGGCAGGCCAGAGAACCCUCCUCUCCCUCCCGCUCCCUGCUGUGUAGCACGUGAUGAGGCGUCCAGCGGCAGGCCUCCCCUCCCAGGCCUCCCCAAGUCUGGGGCGCAUCCCCUCCCCUCCCCUCCCUGUUACACCAAAGGGGCUCCUCCUUCUCCACCCCAGAGGAGAGGGGGCAAGGGAGGCAUCAGCCACCAGGUCUGCCGAGGAGGCCGAGGGAGGGUGCUUGGGCCAGGCUGGACGAUGCCUCGACCUCCCGCUUCCUCACUCACCCCUGCUCCCUUCCAUCUGCUCUGGGCAAGCGAGGAGCCCCUCUUGCUCCAGCGGGCAGGGGGCAGAAGAUCCUCUUCGGAGCGGGGCGGGAGGUGUGGCCAUGACACCGUCCCUUGCUGCACAGUGGGGAGCUGAGGUCAAGCAGAAUUCUCUGGCUUGCCCCCCCCCGUCAACCCCCACCCCCCUGCCUGAUCCCCGCUUGCUGGGCUGCCGGAGCGGAAAGGGAGGAGGAGCAGGGCAACCCCACUGACGCUGCUCUGUGCUUCUUGCAGGCAUGUGCUGCUGCUGGGCGGCUGGAGGAGUCAGUCGAUCCGCCCCAGAAGAGGAGACCAAGUGAACGUGCCUGCAAGGAGUGGGGGGGUGGGGUGGGGGGCUGGCUGGGACUCCCCCCAAUUUUGUUUGCCCUCCCAUUCCCUUCGUGACCCUGGGCUUCCUUCCUUCCCUCCCUCCCUCCCCCUCCCUCCCAGGGGCAGAAUGGGCUUUGCUGGUCGCCCUGUUGGGGGCCGAGUAGGAAUUUUUGGCUUUCCGACAGAUUGGCCGAGAUGGAAAGCUUUUUUGCCUACUCCAUUCUGCCCUGUUUUGUUUCCUUUAGUUAGAAAGUUAAGUGACGACUUGUGACCUAAUUGAGUAUCUUAAUAAAGUUGCCGCUUUUGUUAGCA
Molecule: long non-coding RNA, 1815 nt
Organism: Hemicordylus capensis (graceful crag lizard)
Lineage: Eukaryota; Metazoa; Chordata; Lepidosauria; Squamata; Cordylidae
Exons: 2
Source: RefSeq, a predicted model, not a curated record